GCGACAGCCAAAUCAUCCACAAACAACAUGGACUCAUUUGAAAAAGUGUCUGCAGUCCUCCAGUGAGUUGGAAAGGAUAUUCACUCACAUUACAAAAGCAAAAUGGGCUGGUAUCGAUGAGUCAUGCUGACUUCAUGCAUACGCAAACGUGUCAGGCGAUGGGACUGUCCUUUGGUGUCCUGACAGGGUGAGGUAGUAGGUUGUAUAGUUUGGUGGGAGGGAUCAAACCCUGUUCAGGUGAUAACUAUACAGUCUAUUGCCUUCCUUGUUGUACCAGCUAUCUGUCUGCUAGUGGAAAUUCCCUGGAGUUUAAAUAUUGCUUAAACCCUUUGGCCUGCUUCACACCACAUGAACUUUGUAUAUAUCAGCAUCUUAGAAUGAUUUCUGAAGGAUCAUGUGACACUGAAGACUGGAGUAAAGAUGCUGAAAAUCCAGCUUUGAAUCACAGAAAUAAAUUGCAUUUUACACUAUAUUUAUAUAUUUUGUUUUCAACUUUUUUUUAUUUAUUUUAUUUUAUUUUUUUUAUGCAAUAAAUGUGUCAUUGGUUAGCAUAAGAGACUUGAAUGAAUUUUUUCUAAAAUCUCACUGACUUUUGAAUGUUAGUGUAGAUUUAAUGAUGAUCAAGCCUGAAAUAGUUCUCACUCCACUAAACAUUUGAUAGGUUAUGGUCAUUCAUUAAAGGAAAUGCUUAGUGCAUUAAGAUAGAAAUCACCUCGUUGUACAGCACAACAAGACUGUUGCGGCUUUGUGUGUGUGUGUGUGUGUGUGUGUGUGUGUGUGUGUGUGUGUGUGUGUGCGUGUGUGUGUGUGUGUGUGUGUGAGCAUUGUGAAACCCGGCUUACACUUUACCUAACAAGCCUGAACAACAUCCAUUCCUCUGCUGCAAGCUUAACAUGCUGAUCUGGUACAUGAAGAGAAAAAUCAGAUUAAAAGAGAUUUACUAAGCUCAGAUUUAUGGCUUAAUCAAUAAUUUAGCAUUUCUGUUGGCUUGUGAUCAAACAGGAUUUUCACACAUCAUAACAGGAAAUUCAUUUUCAGUCAGACAAUGCAUGUGGCCUUGUUCAGAGAAUGAAACACACACACACACACACACACACACACACACACACACACA
This is a long non-coding RNA of Cyprinus carpio carpio, 1114 nucleotides long. The record is from Ensembl. NCBI's taxonomy places the organism in Eukaryota, Metazoa, Chordata, Actinopteri, Cypriniformes, Cyprinidae.